Molecule: ribosomal RNA, 75 nt
Filed under: uncultured bacterium
Lineage: Bacteria
Description: partial 16S ribosomal RNA
Source: RNAcentral
AAAGACCUUAUGCUUUUGGAGCGGCCGAUGUCUGAUUAGCUAGUUGGUAAGGUAAUGGCUUACCAAGGCAACGAU